Molecule: unclassified non-coding RNA, 1971 nt
Filed under: Boophis tephraeomystax
Lineage: Eukaryota; Metazoa; Chordata; Amphibia; Anura; Mantellidae
Description: partial contains 12S ribosomal RNA, tRNA-Val, and 16S ribosomal RNA
Rfam family: Bacterial large subunit ribosomal RNA (bases 656-1971)
Source: RNAcentral
AGAUACCCCAAUAUGCCUAGCCGUAAAAAAUUAAAUUACACCCACACACGCCAGGAUAUUACGAGCUCAAGCUUAAAAUCCAAAGGACUUGACGGUGUUCCACCCAUCUAGAGGAGCCUGUUCUUUAAUCGAUACUCCCCGCUUUACCUCACCAUUUCUUGCUUCUUCAGCCUGUAUACCUCCGUCGCAAACUUGCCCUAUGAAUGACACACAGCAAGUUCAAUGGCCCCCACCAAUACGUCAGGUCAAGGUGCAGCCCAUGAAAUGGGAAGCAAUGGGCUACAAUUUCUAACUUAGAACACACGAACUAUCACUUGAAACAGUGAUCAUGAAGGUGGAUUUAGUAGUAAAGAGAAAUUAUAGCGUUCUCUUUAAUUAGGCCCUGGAACGUGUACAAACCGCCCGUCACCCUCUUCGAUAGCAUAUUAAACAUUUUCAUAAACCACUACAAGCACCUUAGAAGAGGUAAGUCGUAACAUGGUAAGUGUACUGGAAAGUGCACUUGGAAUAACAAAAUGUAGCUUAACAAAAGCCCCUCGCUUACACCGAGACGAUAUCUGUUAAACCCGGAUCAUUUUGAGCUGCAAAUCUAGCCUUUAACUACCUCAUGCAACUUCCAUUUAACUGUCUUUAAAUAAAACAUUUUUAACAUCUAGUAGAAGUGAUCGAAAAAUUCUUAUAGCGCUUCAGACACAGUACCGCAAGGGAAAGAUGAAAUAAAAUGAAAUAAUACCUAAGCCCCUAGUAGCAGAGAUUUACCCUCGUACCUUUUGCAUCAUGGUCUAGCUAGUUUAACCAAGCAAAAUGAAUUUUAGUUUGUCCCCCCGAAACUAAGUGAGCUAUUUCAAAACAGCCCUUGGGCCAACCCGUCUCUGUUGCAAAAGAGUGGGAAGAUUUUCAAGUAGAGGUGAUAAACCUACCGAACUUAGAGAUAGCUGGUUACUUAAGAAACGAAUAUAAGUUCGACCCUGAGCCUGCUAUUAAAUAAAAAACCUUCUCAGACUCAGGAUUUAUUCAAAUAAGGCACAGCUUGUUUGAAUCAGGAUACAACCUCGUACAAAGGGUAAAACUAUAGAUACAUACAGCAAGUAGGCCUAAAAGCAGCCACCUUUAAAAAAGCGUCAAAGCUUAGCACUAUAAGUCUCCUCAAUACCUCAAUUCUUCUUUAACCCUUCACCAUUAUUAAGUAACUCCAUAACCCUAUGGAAGCUAUUAUGCUAGAACUAGUAACAAGAAAAAGAUUUUUCUCCAAAAUGUAAGUUUAAGCCACAAUAGACUAUCUACUGGCAAUUAACGCAAAUGAACCUCAUUUAGCAACGCUUCAAGAAAACCCUAAAAUUUUUAGCGUUAACCUUACACUAGAGCAUUUAUGGAAAGAUUAAAAGGGGGGGAAGGAACUCGGCAAAUUUUGAUCCCGCCUGUUUACCAAAAACAUCGCCUCUUGACUAACUAUAAGAGGUCCAGCCUGCCCGGUGACAUAGUUUAACGGCCGCGGUACCCUAACCGUGCGAAGGUAGCAUAAUCACUUGUUCUUUAAAUGGGACUCGUAUCAACGGCAUCACGAGGAUCACACUGUCUCCCGCCCCUAAUCAGUGAAACUGAUCUCCCCCGUGAAGAAGCGGGGAUUUUUUUAUAAGACGAGAAGACCCCAUGGAGCUUUAAACCCGAUGACACCCCCGCCCUAUUUAGACCUACGCAUUCGUUGGGGACCUGUUCACUCGGUUUUAGGUUGGGGUGACCGCGGAGUAAAACAAAACCUCCACGAAGAAUGGGCUUACCCCCUUAUCCAAGAGAGACAUCUCUAAGAAUUAGUAAACUAACAUCUAAUGAUCCGAUUUUUUCGAUCAACGAACCAAGUUACCCUGGGGAUAACAGCGCAAUCCACUUCAAGAGCUCAUAUCGACAAGUGGGUUUACGACCUCGAUGUUGGAUCAGGGUAUCCCAGUGGUGCAGCAGCUACUAAUGGUUCGU